AUACCUUUCUCGGCCUUUUGGCUAAGAUCAAGUGUAGUAUCUGUUCUUAUCAGUUUAAUAUUUGAUAUGUGGGCCAUGUGCCCACAACGAUAUUAAAUUUAUCUUUUGUGGGGGAGGGUCCACCACACUACCUUGCUAGUGGGGCCCUCAUGUGUCGCUUGGGCGUUGCACUAUUGCCCAGGACCCUGAUGUCUACUAC
Triticum urartu is the source of this 199-nucleotide non-coding RNA. The record is from Rfam. Lineage: Eukaryota; Viridiplantae; Streptophyta; Magnoliopsida; Poales; Poaceae.